Long non-coding RNA from Metopolophium dirhodum (rose-grain aphid), 844 nucleotides. RefSeq lists it as uncharacterized. The transcript is spliced from 6 exons. The record is from RefSeq and is a predicted model, not a curated record. NCBI's taxonomy places the organism in Eukaryota, Metazoa, Arthropoda, Insecta, Hemiptera, Aphididae.
CAAAAAAAUAAUAAGCCACUAAUAUAAACGGACAGUUUGUUAAACCGUACAUAUUAUAAUUUUCAGUUCAUCGGAGUGAGAUGAUUAGAUGGAGAUGGAUGAAGAUAGCUGUUUCUUCGGUGAUGGCGGCACUCUAUAGCUACGUUUCACCGGAAGAGUAGAUGUUUACGAAGUCGUUGCAGAAGACACAUUCGACUAAAAUUCUAAAAUUUCAAUAAGCAAAGAAGAUAUUCUAAGUUCUGUAUUCUGGAGCGUUUCCUCAUCGGCGUCGCAGUUCACACACGUCACGGAUACUGCCGAAAGAGUCCAUAAUUAAAACUGAACUUUUGGAUCGGAGAUAUGAAGACGCGCGCUGCAUUUUCCUUGGCGGAGAUGCACAGCUCUGACACUAGACAAUAUUAUACACUCGAAGGGAACGCGUUUCGCCGGAAGAAUAAAUAAUUACAAAUGGUAUUCGUCAGUGAACAUUUUCAAACUGGGAAUAAUAUAUCAUAAGCAGAUUGAAAUGUGUGAACGUUUCAGUGUUUCGAAGACUGUUUCGUAGCAGGUUUCGAUUCCGUCACAGGGUGGCAACUGCAACUGCUGUGUGUGUAUGUGUGUGUGCUGCAGGACUUAUGCGUAUACACGCUCAGCAGACUCUCCUCAAACGCCGCUGGCCAAUAUCCAAUUCAAAGUUUAUUAAAGCGUUGUUACCUGCGCAGCAGACUAUACAACUACUAUUAUACAGUACACUAUAUACGUAAACAAUAAUAUAAGAAUAUAGGUACGUAUUAUUAUUACAACACGACAUACACGCGCACGCCGCACACACACGCUGACUCAGUGGCUCACUGGCUCGUAACAA